RNAcentral lists this long non-coding RNA (1287 nucleotides) under Phoenix dactylifera (date palm). Its description in RNAcentral is "long non-coding RNA (PDAC_LNC015114)". Lineage: Eukaryota; Viridiplantae; Streptophyta; Magnoliopsida; Arecales; Arecaceae. The record is from RNAcentral.
UCUGAAUGACUAAUUCGGCCUUCGAGCCUAGUUGACUUGAGUUAUUAAGCCUGUUAGGGUGUCUUUACACCUAGUGCCCUGAGCCAUCUGGAUCGGGAGUCAUUGGCCUAACACUCGCUACAUGGGUUAGCUAGAAAGCUUAAUAAGGCUAGAUAUUGCACAAGUCAUUCUUCUUAGUAUUUAGUCUGAAAAAAAAGAAAAAAAGAAAAAAAAUAAACUAAAUAAAUAAAUAAAUAAAUCUGGGGUGUUCAUUACCAUUUAACUCUAGAAAGUCUUGAAAAUUGGAGUGAUCAUGUUGAAAGUAAGUGAAAGCCACUCAUUUAUAUGAUAUUAUCUUGCACCUCACUACAUUCUUGACUUGUUAGCAGAUAGAUGGGGUGUAAUGAAACUUGAAUUAGAGUCUCUAUUAUCCUUGCAAUUCUAGUUUCAAACAGUAAUACUUGUUCAAAUUUCAAGUUAAAAAUUGGAAAUCCCUGACUCAUGAAGUUUGUGGGUAACUUCACUGUAAACCCUCACGAGACAACACUCGUCCACUAGGAUAACCUAGGGGUUUAAAGGCUUGCUGCACGUGCUAAGUGUAAUCGUGAUGCUUUACGAAAGUGGGUACGUAUCUCAGUUUUUAUGUACUUAGCUUGAAUAAAAAGUCAUGGGCUAGACUACAUCUUUUGUGCCCUCAUUUUAUCGUUUGCUCAUUAAUUGCUAGAGACUAGCAAUAAGCUGGUUGGGGGGUGUGAUGAGAGCACAAAAGUGCAAUCGUCAUACCAUCUUAACUAGUAUUAUAGUUAAUCUUUAAUAAUAAAAUUAACUAAUUAACGUUGUAUUUAUGUUUGAGUGCAAGUAAUCCAAAAGACCCCAUAAUAUUGGGUUUGAGCGCAAGGCCCAGCAGCCCAAGCUCUAGUCAAGCCAGCGUGCCAGCAACGCCCGCGUCCCAGACUUCCUCCCUUGAUCGUGCCAGCCGCAUGCCAGUUUCCGUGCCAGGCCGUCCGCGUCUCCAGCGCGUCCCCACCAUGCCUUACAGCCAUCCAGCAUCAGUUGAUUUAGCCGCUUCCGUCCGUGACGCACCGGAAUCCCAAACCCCCCAGGAACCACAUUUCCAGCCUCCCAACGCGUUCAUCCUCCCCUGUUUUCUCAUCUUCCCGUCUCAUCCCGCGUCCGCGACCCAAUCCCAGUCGUGCGCCCAUUCUGAAAAUCCAGCAUCAAGCCGCCCACAUCCGCACCAUGAUCUUCAGCCCCUCUCCCGUGAUCCCGCCUCACAGAUCGCCCCCAAGCAAGCGUCCGUGAAUGGCG